Non-coding RNA from Oryctolagus cuniculus (rabbit), 7822 nucleotides. NCBI's taxonomy places the organism in Eukaryota, Metazoa, Chordata, Mammalia, Lagomorpha, Leporidae. The record is from RefSeq and is a predicted model, not a curated record.
GUUCACCAACUCUGAUCUUAUUUAGAUAAGGCCAUAUUCAAAGUGGAAGUUCUCUCCUCCCUUCUGAGAAAGGUAAAUCCUUCUUUAAUGGCCCAUUUUUUCCACUGGUUUCUCACUCACAGAGAUCUUUCAUUUAGGUCAUUUUUUUUCUUUUGCCACAAUGUUUUUCCUUUCCAUGCCGGAUAUACUCUCAUGGGUUUUUUAGCUGGAUCCGAAUGCCUUAAGAGCUGAUUCUGAGGCCAGAGUGCUAUUUAGGGCAUUUGCCAUUCCAUGAGUCUGCUGUGUAUCCUGCUUCCCAUAUAGGAUCAUUCUCUCCUUUUUAAUUCUAUCAAUUAUUAUUUGCAGACAUUGGUCUUAUUUAUGUAAUCCCUUUGAAUUUACUCCUAUCUUUUUGAUUAAUUAUGAACUUAAACUGAUCUCUUUAACAAGUAAGAUGGCAUUGGUACACCUUGAUCUGAUUGGAUUGGAAUCCCCUGGCACGUUUCUAGCUCUACCAUUAGGGGUAAGCCCGAGUGAGCAAAUGCUGAACUGUCCAUCUCCUCCCUCUCUUAUUCCCACUCUUAUAUUUAACAGGGAUCACUUUUUAGUUAAUUUUAAAUGGCUAAGAAUAAUUUUGUGUUAAUUAAAGAAUUCAACCAAUGGUAUUAAGUAGAACAAAAAAAAUACUAAAAGGAAUAAAAUGCUAAGUUGUUCCUCAAGAGUCAGGACAAGCGCUGAUCAAGACAGUGUUUCUCAUAGUGUCAAUUUCACUUCAACAAAUUUCCCCUUUGGUGCUCAGUUAGUUGUCACCGAUCAGGGAGAACAUAUGAUAUUUGUCCCUUUGGGACUGAGUUAUUUCACUCAGCAUGAUGUUUUCCAGAUUCCUCCAUUUUGUUGCAAAUGACCAGAUUUCAUUAUUUUUUACUGCUGUAUAGUAUUCUAUAGAGUACAUACCCCAUAAUUUCUUUAUCCAGUCUUCUGUUGAUGGGCAUUUGGGUUGAUUCCAUUUCUUAGCUAUUGUGAAUUGGAAGCUAACCCUUUCUAAGUUGCAUAGUUUGCAAAUUAUUUCUCCCAUUCUGUGGGUUGCCUCUUCACUAUGCUGAGUGUUUCUUUUCCAAGGCAGAAACUUCACAGAUUGAUGUAAUCCCAUUUGUCAAUUUUGACUUUGAUUGCCUGUGCUUCUGGGGUCUUUUCCAAGAAGUCUUUGCCUAUGCCUAUUUGGAAACUUGCAGAGUUUCCACAAUGUUCUCUAGUAAUUUGAUAGUAUUUGGUCAUAGAUUUAUGUCUUUGUGUCUUUGAUCCAAUUCAAGUGGAUUUUUGUGUAAGAUGUAAGGUAUAUGUGGAAGUUUCAUACUUCCACACUUGGCGAUCCAGUUCCCCAACACCAUUUGUUAAAGAGACUGUCAAUGUUCCAGGAAUUGAUUUUAGCUCCUUUGUCAAAUAUAAGUUGGUUGUAUAUGCAUGGAUUGAUUUCUGGAGUUUUUAUUCUAUGUCACUGAUCUACAAAUCUGUGUUUCUGAUAGCACUAGGCUGUUUUGAUUAUAACUGCCCUGUAGUAUGUCUCAAAAUCUGAUAUUGUGAUGCCUCCAGCUUUGGUCUUUUGUUGUAUAAGAUUAUAUACUUUGUUGUAUAAGAUUGAUUUAGCUAUUCAGGGCCUCUUGUGUUUCCAUAUGAAUUUUAGUAUAAUUUUUUCUAGAUCUGGGAAGAAUGUCAUUGGUAUUUUGAUUGGAAUCACAUUGAAUCUGUAAAUUGCUUUUGGUAGUAUGGACAUUUUCAUGAUGUUGAUUCUUCCAAUCCAUGACCAUGGAAGAAUUUUCCAUUUUUUAAUGUCUUCUUCUAUUUCUUUCUCAAAUGUCUUGAAAUUUUCAUCAUACAGAUCGUUGAUGUCUUUGCUUAAAUUUGUUUCAAGAUAUUUGAUUCUUUUUGGAUAUUGUGAAUGGGAUUGAUUUUAAAGGUUCUUUCUCAGCCAUGACAUUGUUUGUAUAUACAAAGGCUAUUGAUUUUUCCAUUGAUUUUAUAUCCUGCUGUUUCACCAAACUCUUUUAUGAGUUCCAAUAGUCUCUCAGUUCCCUAUAUAUUGGAUGCUGUCUUCUGCAAAUAGGGAUAAUUCGAUUUUCUCCUUCCCAAUUUGUAUUCCUUUGAUUUCUUUUUCACGACUAAUGACUCUGGUUAAUACUGCCAGGACUAUACUAAAUAACAAUGGUGGGAGUGAACAUCCUUGUCAUGUUUCAGAUGUUAAGGGAAAUGCUUCCUGCUUUUCCCCAUUCAAUAGGAUGCUGGCUGUCAGUAUAGUGUCAAUUAGCUCUGUUGUUUCUUUCUUUUUUUUUUUUUAAGAUUUAUUUAUUUAUUUGAAAGAGUUACGCAGAGAGAGAGAGAAAGAGAGAGAGAGAGGUCUUCCAUCCGCUGGUUCACUCCCCAAUUGGCCGCAAAGGCCGGAGCUGCGCCAAUAUGAAGCCAGGAGCCAGGAACCUCCUCCAGGUCUCCCACACGGGUGCAGGGGCCCAAGGACUUGGGCCACCUUCUACUGCUUUCAUAGACCAUAGGAUGGAGCUGGAUCAGAAGUGGAGCAGGCCGGCGCCACGGCUCAAUAGGCUAAUCCUCCACCUGCGGCGCCAGCACACUAGGUUCUAGUCCUGGUAGGAGUGCCUGAUUCUGUCCCGGUUGUCCCUCUUACAGUCCAGCUCUCUGCUAUGGCCCGGGAGUGCAGUGGAGGAUGGCCCAAGUCCUUGGGCCCUGCACCCACAUGGGAGACCAGGAGAAGCACCUGGCUCCUGGCUUCAGAUAAGUGCAGUGCGCCGGCCACAGCGCGCCGGCCACAGCGGCCAUUGGAGGGUGAACCAACGGAAAAAAGGAAGACCUUUCUCUCUGUCUCACUGUCCACUCUGGCUGGAAAAAAAAAAAAAAGAAGUGGAGCAGCCGGGUCUCGAACUGGCGCCCAUAUGGGAUGCAGUGCUUCAGGUCAGGGCAUUAACCUACUGCACAAUAGCACCAGCCCCUGCUCUGUUGUUUAUUGAUUUCUUAUCUAGUUGAUGUGUCCAUUGAUGAAAGUGGGAUAUUAAAGUCCUCUGUUAUUGUGUUGGAGUCUGUCUCCCUUUAUUUCCACUGUCAUUUCUUUUAAAUAACAAGUACCUUAUAAUUAGUUGCAUAUGCACUUAUUAUAGUCACAUCUUCCUAUUAAACUGAUCCCUUAAUCAUUAUAGUGCCCUUCUUCAUCUUUCUUAAGUUUUUAUGUUAAAGUCUAUUUUGUCUGAUGUUGGAAUGGUAGUACCUAGCAUGGAAUAUGAUUUUCCAUCCUUUCACUUUCAGUCUGCAUGUAUCUUUGUUGGUGAGAUGUGUUUCUUGUAGGCAGCAAAUAUGUGGGUCUUGCAUUUUAAUACAUUCAGCCAGUCUGUAUCUUUUAAUGGUAUCUUUUAACUGGAAAGUGGGGUCAUUUACAUAAAAGGUGACUAUAUUGAUAAGUAACAAUUUGGCCCUGCCAUUUUUUUCAUAAAUAUUCCUAUUGUUUACUUUGAAUUUCAUUUAUACUUACACUGGGUUUUUUUCUGCCUUCAUGUUAUUUUUUAAUGAUGACUAUGUUCCUGUAUUUAUGUGUGUAGCACAUCCUUAAGCAUUUUUUUUUUGUAAGGCUGGACAAGUGGCUACAAAUUCUUUCAAGUUUUGCUUGUAAUGUUUAAUUCCUUUAAAUUUCAGUUUCUGUUUCUUUAUUUCACCUUCAUUCAUAAAUGAGAGCUUUGCAGGGUACAGUGUUCUGGGAUGACAGUUUUUGUUUUUUUAAGUCUUGCACUUUAUCUUGUCAUUCCCUUCUAGCCUAUAGGUUUUAUGAUAAGAAUUCAGCUGUGAGUCUAAUUGGAGACUCUCUGAAAGUAAUCUGGCAUUUAUUUCAUGUGCAUUUUAGAAUAUUUUCAUUAUGUUUUCCUGUGAAAAGUUUGAUUACAAUGUGUCAUGGUGAAGAUCUUUUCUCGUCAUAUCUGUUAGGAGUUCUAUGUGCUUCCUCUACUUGGACAUCCCUUUUUUUCUCUAAAUUGGGGAAGAUUUCUGUAAAUAUUUCACUAAGUAGGCCUUCUAGUCCAUUCUCUCUUUCUUCACUUUGAAGAACUCCCAAGAGCCAUAUGUUGGAUCAUUUGAUAGUAACCCGUACAUCUCCAAAACCUUUUUUAAGUUUUCUAUUUUUUUCUUCUUUUUUUUUCCUUUUUCUUUUGGUUCUGAUUAUUAGAUUUCUUGCCCCAAACCAAAAUGGCUCCCACUCUUUCUCAACCAGGCAGCAGGCACUGUUGUAGGGAAGUUGGGGUGAGAUAAACAUGCCCCCUCUACUUCUACUGGGUCCAUGGCAACUGCUAGCAACUGGUAGCCCCCAAGUCUGCAGUCCAGUUCAUGCCAUGCUCUCCCUCUGGCUAUAUCACCACGGGUUGCUGCUGUACAGUCUCCCCUCUGUCUCCAAGCUGUGCCUGUUUUGUCUCUCAGCUGCCGCAGUUGUGCUUGUAUUGGUGUUUGUGCCGCCUGCCUGCACGCUCCACAUAGGUCCACAGCAUUCAUCUUCCUCUUGUAGGAUAUCCAGUGCAGUUUUCUCUCCAAUUCUCCCUUGAGAGUGCACUUCCUAUGUUUUUUCACUUUUUUUUUUAAUUCCUUAUCCCUAACCUAGUGCACAGUGUAAUUCCCUAAUCCACCAUCUUGGAAUCUCCCUAAUACUUAUAAAAUUAGAAAAGUGCACGUUAACAUGGUCACUUCCAAGCAGAGUGACAACCAGAAUAUAGAACUCUCUCUCAGGAAGAAUUCAAGUAUCCCUUCCCUUCUGCUGCUGCUUCUUUUCUUCUUCUCCUUCUCUAACUUCUUCCUCUUCCUCUUUUUCCCGGUCUUCUUCUUCUUCCCCUCCUCCUCCUCUUCCUCUUUAUUCUUUUGUUUACAAAACUAAUCAUGACCAUUUAAGCCACUGGGACGUUCAUGCCAGCAGCCUUCUGCUCAGCAGUACAGGGUCUUUCCCAUGGUGCUACCUGUAGAUGAAUGGGUCAUUUAAAAAUAUGUAAUAGUAACAAUGAUGAGAUGUAGACACUCUGUAGUUGGCUGGCUUAAUUUUGUAACCUGUCAACCAUUAGCAAUUACAUAGCUUGUUAAUAAAAGUGGUGAAAAGCAAGUUUAUUUUUAGUGACUACAAUUUCAGGGCUUAUAUUUUGUGUAUCUACCAUGAUGUUAAACUAAACAUCACCUUUUUCACAUGAAGGAAUAAUAUGAUCAUAUCACAGCACACAAGCUCAAGUUUUCAUGAUCUUACCCUUGGUUUUGAUUGACCCUAGAAGCCACAAGCUUUGUGAUCUUUAUCAGAGUUACUGGGGUAAUGUAAUCUUUGAACACAUUAUAUAUAAGACUAAUGGAUCUUAUGAAAUGAGAACACUAAUAAAUUAUGAAUCACCGAAUUAAUCUAGGCAAAUACUUCAGAUUUCUCUUGGCCCUCAUUUGAAUGAAAAGUUAAACUAUUUCUUUUUCCUCUCUUGCCUCAUAUAAUGAAAUCCACUCUUAAUAAACACUUACUGAAAUUGGAGGCACAGAGUUCACCAUUCCAAGAGACUAGUAGGUUAUAGCCCUCUGCAACUAAUCACAGAGGCUCUCCAUGCUGUAUCCGUUGGUCACUCUAAGGGAGUGACCCUAGGAAAACCUGCCCGGACCUAGAGUUGUGCCUAUAUCUCACUAGGUCUUGAUACCAGUACCCCAGAUGAAACUGAUGUGCAAUGAUUUCUUCUUACGACUUUUCUGCUUCCCUGAGGACAAAGUAUUUGUGUCCCUUAAAAUAGCCAUGUCUCCAAAUUGCAUAUCCAGAGGAAACACUGCAUUUUCAAUCUCCAAGUAUGAUAACUCAAUAAACCUUCAGCUCUAAAAUUCAGAGCAUUUGUAUAGUAUCCUCUAAACUACCAUGAAAUUACACCCCUCCCUUUAAAAUUUCUCUAGUUUGUUUAUUUUUAUAGCUUCUACCUCCAGAACAGACAGCACAAGUCAUCAGCAUCCAACCAAAGUUAUAAAAAGUCUUUCUGUUUCUCUCUCUGUGUAGAAGUCAUCAUUUUGCUCUCACCCAUAUGGGAGGUUAAAUUUCACUUUUUCUCAGUACUGAAAAUCAGUGCCAGCUUCCACCUCUUACAAUCAAUCUAAGACCCCUGGUCAGUCCAAACAGCUUAGGUAAAAUGGUUGGCAUUUGAUAUUUUAGCUACAAUAGUGUAGCUCUAUCAACUUGAAUGUGGGAGAGAAAAAUUGCAUUUCCAAUUUAUCCCAUUACAAUCUUGCCUUUACAUAGUCAAAAAAAAAAAAAAAAAAAGCAGCAACCAUUGCUCUAUUUCUCGUGAUUUUACUUUCAACUCUGCUUUUUUUCCCCCCACUAACAAAUGACCUUCAUCAAAGAUACCAGGUAAAAUUUAGCAACUAAAUCCUUAAUCUUUAAAACAGAUAUGGUAGACUUAAUUUGUGUCCUACUUUAGAAGGAAAAAGUUAAGCAAGCAAAGCAAAUUAUUUCAUCUACAAUUGCUAAUGUUUUCAUGAAACUUUUUGAAAUUAAUAUUCAUAUGGAAACAAAAUUCUAAAAUUCUUCAUACCAAAGAACACUAGAUCCUUUUAUAACCAUUAUUUUAAAUUACUGAAACAUCUCAAAAUUCCUAAUUAGGUGAUCAUUCUAAAAUUAUUAUGAUACAAAUAUCUACAUGAUAUUUUUUUAAAUGAGCUCUUUUAUUUUCUUAAAUAGUAUGCAGACACUUGGGGGAGUCAAUACUACUAGGAUUUUUAUAUGAAUAUGUCAAGAUUUACAGUUUUCUGCUUAUAUCAUACAAAGGAAGAGGAAACAGACAACAAAUUACAUUAAUUUGUUACAUUCAGUUCUCCAAAUCUGUUCUAUAAUUAUCCAAAUAAUUAUCUAAAUCAGCUUCCCCCCAAAUCAUCAGAAAAACCUGUUGGAUCAGUACAGCUCCAUUUAUCAGGCUUGCUUGAGGAAGGAAGCAAAUGACAACACCUUUAUAGAGCCUCAGACAUCUCAGAAAGGAAGCACCAGGAGAAGAUACUUGGAAGGCUUCAGCCCAAACAGGUGAUUUCGAGCCACAGGUCUGGAGGGUCAAGCUGACAUUGUUCCACCCAAAUAGCAUUUUUUUGAGUCUGAGUCUUCUCCAGAGGCAUCACAGCUCUCUCGGACUAUACAAUCACAUUUUGGCUAAGAUCAAGUGAAGUGUGGAGAGGAGCUGGAAGGUCACUGUGCCCUACCGCCACAGCUGAAGCCACCAUUUAUAAAAAUCGUGAGCAUUCAAAACUUAGUUUGUUCCAGAACAACAUAUAAAGGCCAUAGCAGAGAGCUGGAUCAGAAGUGGAGCAGCCAGGACUCCACCCAGCACCCUUAUAGGAUGCCAGGACUGCAGGCAGUGGCUUUACCUGCUAUGUCACAGCGCCAACCCUUCUGGUUGUAUUUUCUAAAUUAUCUCCUGUAUUCUAAUACUUUUCUUCAUUUUAAUUAUAUUUUUAUUAUUAAUGUGCUGUAGAAGUUGUUCAGAUAUACUUUAUGCGGUCCACUGUGAAAUACCUGUAUUGCAAAAAUUGUUACCUAGUAUGUGGUGCACUUAUUCAUUUUUUAAAAAAAAUUAUAUAGGGCAAGCAAAUUUCAUGUAUUUCAUAUAUACAGAUUCGUGAGCAUAGUGAUAUUUCCCACCCUACUCUCCCUCCCACCCAACCUCCUACGCUCUCUGCUUCUUCCUUUGUUAUCUUUCUUUUAAUUUUUGCAAUGACAUAAUUUCAGCUUAUUUUAUAACCAUAAGAUUAAGUCUCCACUAAGUAAAGGAUUCACUUUCUUAGUGUUUGGGGGGAAGAUUAAAUUAUCAAACUGUGA